RNAcentral lists this non-coding RNA (697 nucleotides) under Pan troglodytes (chimpanzee). The record is from RNAcentral. Lineage: Eukaryota; Metazoa; Chordata; Mammalia; Primates; Hominidae.
CCCAAGUGUAGCUGGGACUACAGGCACACGCCACCAUGCCCAGCUAAUUUUUUUUUUUAAUGUAGAGAUAAGAGUCUCACUAUGUUGCCCAGGUUGAUCUCAAACUCCUGGUCUCAAGAGAUCCUCCCACCUCAGCCUCCCAGAGUCAGAACCCAGAUCUUGGAGCUCUUCUUUUCUUCAUCUAUACCACUGCUUCCUUGCAGAUACCAGGUUUCGCCAUGUUGACCAGGCUGGUCUCAAACUCCCAACCUCAAGUGAUCCACCUGCCUUGGCCUCCCAAAGUGCUGGGAUUACAGGUGUGAGCCACCAUGCCCGGCCUAAAAGAUAAGAGAUCAAGACAUAUACAAAUUAGUCUUUGAAAGAUCUUUCACCUUGUUCAAAGUUAAGAUCCUGUGAACACCAGAAUUGUUCCGCGGCCUCUUCACUAUUGAUUGCAACAGUAUCAUUUACCUGAAGCUACACAGUGACCACAAAAACCAUGUCCAGGACACCAAAUUUCUACUGCGAACUCUAGGUCCUCACGAGCCUUUCUCUGCGAGUCCAAAAUUCAGCCACAUUUCCUAAGAGGCACCUGUACUUGUCUAUUUCAAUGCAGCCAGAAGCUGACGACGGCCCAGGAACCAGGACUGCUUUCAGGAGGCGCUCAGAAGGGCAGCAAAGUACCCUCUCAACAUUAGUAAAAUGAAACAAAAGUGUC